GUCCUCAUAGUUCAACGGAUAGAACGGCCCCCCCCUAAGGGGCAGAUCUAGGUCCAAUUCCUAGUGGGGACA
Molecule: transfer RNA, 72 nt
Filed under: Candidatus Shapirobacteria bacterium RBG_13_44_7
Lineage: Bacteria; Candidatus Shapironibacteriota
Description: tRNA-Arg
Rfam family: tRNA
About the family: Transfer RNA (tRNA) molecules are approximately 80 nucleotides in length. Their secondary structure includes four short double-helical elements and three loops (D, anti-codon, and T loops).
Source: RNAcentral